Molecule: small RNA, 712 nt
Filed under: Theobroma cacao (cacao)
Lineage: Eukaryota; Viridiplantae; Streptophyta; Magnoliopsida; Malvales; Malvaceae
Description: sRNA Tc06v2_g003660
Source: RNAcentral
UGUUUGGCUGAUGGCAGUAUCUGAACGCGUUUUUAUUUGGCAGCUUCACGCGCCGGGGAGUUUUCCUGUUUUUGUCUAUGGCUGUUCGGAUAGGCAGGGUUUGGUUGAAUCAAUGUUUAUAUAAUUUCUGUGGUAGCUUUGCGAGGUGCUGUAGAAGGGCUAGAGCUGAGAGUUUUGUUGUUUAUUGGAUGAGAAACUCAUCUUGCGGGAAGCGGAACCAGUCUUAGCGGAAGGAGUUCAUAUGGCCAGCCAGCGUGCAAUCGCUAAACACGGUUGUCGCAUAAAGCAUGUUCUAGAAAACCCUGAUGACAUUUCAGAAGGAAUUUGACUACGAAAGCUUCAAGGUUGGCAUUCAGUAACAAGACACAAUCUUCAAGAACAAAUAAUGAAGUCAAGUAUCGUUGACAGUGUGAGAUGACUUCUACACUUGCAAACGUGAUUAUUGCAAAGCAACGACCCGUUGAUCAAGACAUGUUGUUGAUGAAAGGUGCCAUGCCAUUACAUUUGAAAAGUAGAAUUGGAGGUUGUGUCAUAGAUCACAAUUUCUGUCGCUUGUCUCUUUACUUGUUGAAGUGUCUGUCUUCUUCCUGCCUUGUAUUAUUCUUAAUUCAUUCUUGCUUUGCUAUAAUCAUUAAGAUGCUAUAACAGAGGAAGAAUAAUCAUAAUAUUCGCACUUGAUGCUUGUAGAAUGUAGUUAUUUUGAGAAUAAUUU